This 299-nucleotide RNase P RNA is filed under the name Nitrososphaerota archaeon. RNAcentral's name for it is "RNase P RNA component". It matches the Rfam family "Archaeal RNase P". From Rfam's summary of the family: Ribonuclease P (RNase P) is a ubiquitous endoribonuclease, found in archaea, bacteria and eukarya as well as chloroplasts and mitochondria. RNAcentral also lists the same sequence under 2 other names. Lineage: Archaea; Thermoproteati; Nitrososphaerota. The record is from RNAcentral.
GCGAGCGGCGGGGCGGGUCACGGGGCACUCCCGAGGAAGUUCCUCCCCCAUUAGAAGGCACGUGGCACCGUGAGGUGCUGGGGGAGACCCCAGGCAACGCAUCAGAAACGAAACCCCUCCACUUACAAUGAAGAUGAGACAGCUGUGCAAACUGUUGAAAGAGUGGGUGGAGAGUGGUUGAAACGGGCGGCCCACGUGGGGAAAGGCUGGGGGUUCUAUGAUCCUGCCUUCGGAGAGACCCCUGGAAACCGACAAGACGAAUCCCGCCUAAAUACAGAAGGAGGGCUACCGCCGCACGC